RNAcentral lists this ribosomal RNA (497 nucleotides) under uncultured bacterium. RNAcentral's name for it is "partial 16S ribosomal RNA". It matches the Rfam family "Bacterial small subunit ribosomal RNA", at positions 28 to 507 of the family's 1533-position model. The record is from RNAcentral.
GAUGAACGCUGGCGGCGUGCCUAAUACAUGCAAGUCGAGCGAACAGACGAGGAGCUUGCUUCUCUGAUGUUAGCGGCGGACGGGUGAGUAACACGUGGAUAACCUACCUAUAAGACUGGGAUAACUUCGGGAAACCGGAGCUAAUACCGGAUAAUAUAUUGAACCGCAUGGUUCAAUAGUGAAAGACGGUCUUGCUGUCACUUAUAGAUGGAUCCGCGCUGCAUUAGCUAGUUGGUAAGGUAACGGCUUACCAAGGCAACGAUGCGUAGCCGACCUGAGAGGGUGAUCGGCCACACUGGAACUGAGACACGGUCCAGACUCCUACGGGAGGCAGCAGUAGGGAAUCUUCCGCAAUGGGCGAAAGCCUGACGGAGCAACGCCGCGUGAGUGAUGAAGGUCUUCGGAUCGUAAAACUCUGUUAUUAGGGAAGAACAAAUGUGUAAGUAACUAUGCACGUCUUGACGGUACCUAAUCAGAAAGCCACGGCUAACUACGUG